AACCUCCGCAAUGUGAGAAAUCGCGACGGGGGGAUCCCAAGUGCCAUUCUUAACGGGAUGGCUUUUCAUUAGUGUAAAAAGCUUUUGGAAUAAGAGCUGGGCAAGACCGGUGCCAGCCGCCGCGGUAACACCGGCAGCUCUAGUGGUAGCAAUUUUUAUUGGGCCUAAAGCGUCCGUAGCCGGUUUAAUAAGUCUCUGGUGAAAUCCUGUAGCUUAACUGUGGGAAUUGCUGGAGAUACUAUUAGACUUGAGACCGGGAGAGGUUAGAGGUACUCCCAGGGUAGAGGUGAAAUUCUGUAAUCCUGGGAGGACCGCCUGUUGCGAAGGCGUCUAACUGGAACGGUUCUGACGGUGAGGGACGAAAGUUAGGGGCGCGGACCGGAUUAGAUACCCGGGUAGUCCUAACUGUAAACGAUGCGGACUUGGUGUUGGGGUGGCUUUGAGCUGCUCCAGUGCCGAAGGGAAGCUGUUAAGUCCGCCGCCUGGGAAGUACGGUCGCAAGACUGAAACUUAAAGGAAUU
RNAcentral lists this ribosomal RNA (521 nucleotides) under uncultured bacterium. RNAcentral describes it as "bacterial SSU rRNA". It matches the Rfam family "Archaeal small subunit ribosomal RNA", at positions 345 to 866 of the family's 1478-position model. The record is from RNAcentral.